Molecule: long non-coding RNA, 1249 nt
Filed under: Cyanistes caeruleus (blue tit)
Lineage: Eukaryota; Metazoa; Chordata; Aves; Passeriformes; Paridae
Description: lncRNA (ENSCCEG00000023950.1)
Source: RNAcentral
CACAUUCUUUUCUUGGAACUUUACCAAAUGUUACUACAAAGCAUUAUGACACUGGUAUAAAUUAGUCACAGGAUGCACAAUCUGUGCUCUAACAGUGUCUGUCACUUCACAGCAAACAGAGCAAGGGAGGAAGGGUAGUAGAGACUCUGGCCGUGGGUGAAAACAGGGCUCUCUCCUCAUCCGUCCAUCUGGUAAAACAAGUAGCUUGUCUGGUUCUGAGGAGAAAAAGGCAAAGGACUCAUAAAUGGGAGAAACUGACCCUGAGAGUAUGAUAGAGGCCCUGACACUAAAGAGAAUGCUGACAUACCACAGUUAAAAAUUGUUCAAGGCAUUGGAAAAAAAAAUGGGCAAACUCAGAACUUCAGGUGAAGUCUUCCGUAAAAAAACAUGAAUCUGAUUGAAGUGCAAAGGGGAAAAUUGUAAGAGACCAAAUAGUUCACUGUUGCAGAACCAUCCUUCCCAGAUGUGUCUGGAACACAGAGAGAGACAAGAUUCCAUGAAACAAGCUGUAACUCAAUGGAACAUGCUAAAAAAAAAUCAGGGAAAGGGAAAAGAGAAUGCCAGGGAGACUUUCAGGAUUAACAUGCAGUGCUGAAUAUUUAAUUAGCCUGGGAUAACAACAGGUAAUUAUGAAAUCAAGCAAAGUUCUAUUAUGCAUCAUUUUAUAAUUCAUGCGGGUGUGUCAUAAAAUUACAAGCAUUUGUACUUUUAAAAAACUAACCAUGUGUUUAAUGCAAAUGCAAUCACGCUAAUGUGAUUCACAUUUUUUAAAGUGCACACUGAGAGAGCGGGUAAUAAUGAGAGGCUUUGUAAACAAAAUCACUGGGAGAUACUAAUAAUGCAACACUACUAAGGUGUGUUAUUUAUUGCAAAAUUUGGAGGAGAGAAAAAAAUGACCUAUAAUCAGCUCUUCAUUCCCUGUUUUUAAUUCUCAGGUAUUUUAGGAUUGCACUUUUCUCUUGGUGUUCCUCAAUUUUUUUGUGCUUCUGGUCUUGGAUAUGUAAGUCUGGGAGAAGGAGUGAGUGAUCAGAAUGGGUGAGGACAUAUUCACAGCAUUUCACUUUAAUUCAGCUGGUUAAAUGGAAGGAGAUAAUCUCUUCCUCUGAAAGGGAGGAAGUUUCUGCCCCUGGCAGAAACUCUGAUGACUCCAAGGGGAACCUUCGCCUAUGUGGAUAAAGUUAUAUAAAAGAGUUAUAUAUAAAAGUUAUAAUACAUAGAAAAUGAAAGGCAUUUUGCUGUCUAGGGUUUA